GACGAACGCUGGCGGCGUGCUUAACACAUGCAAGUCGAACGGAAAGGCCCUGCUUUUGUGGGGUGCUCGAGUGGCGAACGGAUGAGUAACACGUGAGUAACCUGCCCUUGACUUUGGGAUAACUUCAGGAAACUGGGGCUAAUACCGGAUAGGAGCUCCUGCUGCAUGGUGGGGGUUGGAAAGUUUCGGCGGUUGGGGAUGGACUCGCGGCUUAUCAGCUUGUUGGUGGGGUAGUGGCUUACCAAGGCUUUGACGGGUAGCCGGCCUGAGAGGGUGACCGGCCACAUUGGGACUGAGAUACGGCCCAGACUCCUACCGGAGGCAGCAGUGGGGAAUAUUGCACAAUGGGCGGAAGCCUGAUGCAGCAACGCCGCGUGCGGGAUGACGGCCUUCGGGUUGUAAACCGCUUUCGCCUGUGACGAAGCGUGAGUGACGGUAAUGGGUAAAGAAGCACCGGCUAACUACGUG
RNAcentral lists this ribosomal RNA (468 nucleotides) under uncultured bacterium. RNAcentral's name for it is "partial 16S ribosomal RNA". It matches the Rfam family "Bacterial small subunit ribosomal RNA", at positions 28 to 507 of the family's 1533-position model. The record is from RNAcentral.